This 72-nucleotide transfer RNA is filed under the name Ictidomys tridecemlineatus (thirteen-lined ground squirrel). RNAcentral describes it as "Spermophilus tridecemlineatus (thirteen-lined ground squirrel) tRNA". It matches the Rfam family "tRNA". Rfam says of the family: Transfer RNA (tRNA) molecules are approximately 80 nucleotides in length. Their secondary structure includes four short double-helical elements and three loops (D, anti-codon, and T loops). Lineage: Eukaryota; Metazoa; Chordata; Mammalia; Rodentia; Sciuridae. The record is from Rfam by way of RNAcentral.
GGGAUAUAACUCAGUUGGUAGAGUGCUUGCCUUGCAUGAAGGAGGCCCUGGGUUCAAUCCCCAGCACCACCA